Molecule: ribosomal RNA, 903 nt
Filed under: uncultured bacterium
Lineage: Bacteria
Description: bacterial SSU rRNA
Rfam family: Bacterial small subunit ribosomal RNA
Source: RNAcentral
GUGCCAGCAGCCGCGGUAAUACAGAGGUCUCGAGCGUUGUUCGGAUUCAUUGGGCGUAAAGGGUGCGUAGGUGGCGCCGUAAGUCGGGUGUGAAAUUUCGGAGCUUAACUCCGAAACUGCAUUCGAUACUGCGGUGCUUGAGGACUGGAGAGGAGACUGGAAUUCAUGGUGUAGCAGUGAAAUGCGUAGAGAUCAUGAGGAAGACCAGUGGCGAAGGCGGGUCUCUGGACAGUUCCUGACACUGAGGCACGAAGGCCAGGGGAGCAAACGGGAUUAGAUACCCCGGUAGUCCUGGCAGUAAACGGUGCACGUUUGGUGUGGGGGGAUUCGACCCCUUCCGCGCCGGAGCUAACGCGUUAAACGUGCCGCCUGGGGAGUACGGUCGCAAGAUUAAAACUCAAAGAAAUUGACGGGGGCCCGCACAAGCGGUGGAGUAUGUGGCUUAAUUCGAUGCAACGCGAAGAACCUUAUCCUGGGUUUGACAUGUACGGAUUAACCCGAUGAAAGUCGGGCCACGCUCGCAAGAGUGGAACGUGCACAGGUGCUGCAUGGCUGUCGUCAGUUCGUGUCGUGAGAUGUCGCGUUAAGUCGCUAAACGAACGCAACCCUUAUCUUUAGUUGCCAGCGAGUCAUGUCGGGGACUCUAAAGAGACUGCCGGUGUCAAACCGGAGGAAGGCGGGGAUGACGUCAAGUCCUCAUGGCCUUUAUGCCCAGGGCUGCACACGUGCUACAAUGGGGCGUACAAAGCGCCGCGAAGUUGCGAAACCAAGCUAAUCGCAAAAAGCGUCCCCCAGUUCGGAUUGCAGGCUGCAAUUCGCCUGCAUGAAGCCGGAAUCGCUAGUAAUCGCCGAUCAGCAUUGCGGCGGUGAAUGUGUUCCUGAGCCUUGCACACACCGCCCGUC